This 367-nucleotide ribosomal RNA is filed under the name uncultured eukaryote. RNAcentral's name for it is "partial 18S ribosomal RNA". It matches the Rfam family "Eukaryotic small subunit ribosomal RNA", at positions 592 to 976 of the family's 1831-position model. The record is from RNAcentral.
CAAUAGCGUAUAUUAAAGUUGUUGCAGUUAAAAAGCUCGUAGUUGAAGUUCUGCCUGUUCCUAGCUCUGGCUUCGGUCGGACUAGGAGCAGGCAUCCGUCUGUAAACUACGCUCGUCCUUCACUGGUCGUCGUAGGGAGCAGGCUCUCUACUUUGAAAAAAUUAGAGUGUUUCAGGCAGGCAAUCGCCCGGAUACAUUAGCAUGGAAUAAUGGAAAAGGACUCAAGUCCAUUUUGUUGGUUAUUGGACAUGAGUAAUGAUUAAUAGGGACAGUUGGGGGCAUUAGUAUUUAAUUGUCAGAGGUGAAAUUCUUGGAUUUAUUAAAGACUAACUUAUGCGAAAGCAUUUGCCAAGGAUGUUUUCAUUAA